Molecule: ribosomal RNA, 492 nt
Filed under: uncultured bacterium
Lineage: Bacteria
Description: partial 16S ribosomal RNA
Rfam family: Bacterial small subunit ribosomal RNA
Source: RNAcentral
AGUGAACGCUGGCGGUAGGCCUAACACAUGCAAGUCGAACGGCAGCACAGUAAGAGCUUGCUCUUACGGGUGGCGAGUGGCGGGCGGGUGAGGAAUACAUCGGAAUCUACUUUUUCGUGGGGGAUAACGUAGGGAAACUUACGCUAAUACCGCAUACGACCUACGGGUGAAAGCAGGGGAUCUUCGGACCUUGCGCGAUUGAAUGAGCCGAUGUCGGAUUAGCUAGUUGGCGGGGUAAAGGCCCACCAAGGCGACGAUCCGUAGCUGGUCUGAGAGGAUGAUCAGACACACUGGAACUGAGACACGGUCCAGACUCCUACGGGAGGCAGCAGUGGGGAAUAUUGGACAAUGGGCGCAAGCCUGAUCCAGCCAUACCGCGUGGGUGAAGAAGGCCUUCGGGUUGUAAAGCCCUUUUGUUGGGAAAGAAAAGCAGCAGGUUAAUACCCCGCUGUUCUGACGGUACCCAAAGAAUAAGCACCGGCUAACUUCGUG